UUGAAAAAACUAUUUUUCGUAGGAGGGUCAUAAAAGUUUGAGAUUGAGAGAACGUUGAGGUCCGUGUUGUAAUUUUAGUUCUUUUGUAAAUCUACAUGUAAGUUAAUGCUAGUAAUAAGGGAGAAGUGAGAAAGUCUUCUAAGAGAUUCUCAGUAGAAAGUUUUGGAAAUAUGGGAAAGUUUUAUCCAGAUAACAAGUUAGAGGUGGACAAUGGCGUGCCAGCAGCCGCGGUUAUACUUCAGCCUCAAAUUAAAAUUCAUUUACAAAAUUGUGUUUAGCGGACCUUUUUAUGGAGUUUCGGAAAAGUUUGAUCAGACUUACUUAAAUUGUAGGGUAGAAUUUUUAUUUAGGGAAGAGUAAUCAAUAAUAUUAAACAUGGGAUUUAUUUUUUGGACCAGGAUUAGAUACCCUGUUACUUUUAAUGAAGAAAUUUUGGAGUAGUAAUGUUAAUGAAAUUUAACGGAUUUGGCGGCAAGAUAGCCCCUUAGAGGAACCUGCCCUGUAAACGAUGAACCACGAGGGACUCUACUUUCUUUGGUAGUCAGUUUGUAUAUCGCUGUUGUCAGUUAGAUUCUUGAGAAUAUUUUCGUCUAUGAAAAGUUCAUUGACUUCAAGUAAAGGUGCAGCUUAUAAGGAAGAUAGAGGUGGGUUACAUUUAUGAGAAUAAAACGGAAAGGAUGGAUGAAACAAUCCUUGAAGGUGGAUUUAACUGUAAAACUUAAGUAGGUUUGGUGAGAGCUCUAUCUUGUGUACACACCGCCCGUCGCUCUCUUUUCAAAACGAGAUAAGUCGUAACAAGGUAAGUGUAAUGGAAAUUGUACUUGA
Molecule: ribosomal RNA, 825 nt
Filed under: Tetraclita serrata
Lineage: Eukaryota; Metazoa; Arthropoda; Thecostraca; Balanomorpha; Tetraclitidae
Description: 12S ribosomal RNA
Source: RNAcentral